Molecule: non-coding RNA, 29 nt
Filed under: Bombyx mori (domestic silkworm)
Lineage: Eukaryota; Metazoa; Arthropoda; Insecta; Lepidoptera; Bombycidae
Source: RNAcentral
UUCCAAGUCAUGCAGUUCAUUAGAGCGAA